Unclassified non-coding RNA from Macaca fascicularis (crab-eating macaque), 147 nucleotides. It matches the Rfam family "Metazoan signal recognition particle RNA". From Rfam's summary of the family: The signal recognition particle (SRP) is a universally conserved ribonucleoprotein. NCBI's taxonomy places the organism in Eukaryota, Metazoa, Chordata, Mammalia, Primates, Cercopithecidae. The record is from Ensembl.
GCCGGGUGUGGUGGUGCACACCUGUAAUCCCAGCUACUCAGGAGGCUGAGGCAGGAGAAUCGCUUGAACCCAGGAAGCAGAGGUGUCAGUGAGCUAAGAUUACCCCACUGCACUCCAGCCUGGUGACACAGUGAGACCCUGUCUCUA